UACGAAGGGGGCUAGCGUUGCUCGGAAUCACUGGGCGUAAAGCGCACGUAGGCGGCUUCUUAAGUCAGGGGUGAAAUCCUGGAGCUCAACUCCAGAACUGCCCUUGAUACUGAGAGGCUCGAGUCCGGGAGAGGUGAGUGGAACUCCGAGUGUAGAGGUGAAAUUCGUAGAUAUUCGGAAGAACACCAGUGGCGAAGGCGGCUCACUGGCCCGGUACUGACGCUGAGGUGCGAAAGCUAGGGUAGCAAACGGG
This 253-nucleotide ribosomal RNA is filed under the name uncultured bacterium. RNAcentral describes it as "partial 16S ribosomal RNA". It matches the Rfam family "Bacterial small subunit ribosomal RNA", at positions 524 to 776 of the family's 1533-position model. The record is from RNAcentral.